Pogona vitticeps (central bearded dragon) is the source of this 733-nucleotide non-coding RNA. NCBI's taxonomy places the organism in Eukaryota, Metazoa, Chordata, Lepidosauria, Squamata, Agamidae. The record is from RefSeq and is a predicted model, not a curated record.
CAGCCCCGCCGGAGGGGGGGGAAGCCCUUGCCCACCAAACCCGGCGCCGGGGCGUUCGUUCUCUCGAGGUGGCGGCCGCGGCGGCGCCGCUGCUGCCGGCCGAGCUCACGUGGGCUGCUGUUGCUGCUGCUGCUGGCGGCGGCGGCGAGGGCGAGGAGGAGGAUGAUGAUGCAAUCCCCCCCUCUCCUCCCCCGCGGGAGCGCUUAGAACGCCGAGGGGCGGCGAGGCGCUCCCUUUGGCCGCGGAUGGGCGCGCGGCGGCAGCGGUAGCAGCAGCAGCAGCAGCCGCCGGAGCACAAGAAGCGGCCGCCGGAGCAGCAACUUUUCCCUUGCGGGCGAAGCCAAACCGGAGUUCCGCUCUCCGUCUCCCGCGCCCUCGGGGCGUCCCGUCCGGCGUCCCCAGCCCGAGCCGGCAUCUCGGCUAGCAACGGGGCCCGAAAGCGCCUGCCUCUAUGGGAGGUGUUGAAAAAGUCAAGAGUUUGGAUGUUUGAGUGGAAUAAAUAUGAAGAGUUUGAAAGCAAAGUUCAGGAAGAGCGAUAUAACGGGCAGUUAGACUCCGGACAGCUGCUGCCAAGAGACACAACUUGGAAUUCACAUCACAUUGAGUUUCCACCAUAUCACAGGAGGAUCCUAGGGGAUAUUCUGCAAAUAAAUGGCAACCUUUGGAUCUGCUCUGCUAAUAAGACCUCGUGAUGCUUUAUCCCCUUUAAUGGCACAGUUCUGUUUUGGUUUCU